GAAAUCCUAAAAUUCCUCUCUCAGUCCCUUGCUCUCCCUCCCGCGCUCACCCUCUCUCCUCCGGCGAGUUCAUCGGCCACCGGAAAUCCCCUCUCAGUCUCUCGCUCUCCCUCCCGUGCUCACCCUCUCUCUCCUCCGGCGAGUUCUUCGGCCACCGGAAAUCCUCUCUCACUCCAGCACUCUCCCUCCCGCGCUCACCCUCUCUCUCCUUCCGCGAGUUCUUCGGCACCGGCGAAGCUGUCCGUCCACUGUCUCUCUCACUCCGGCGAAGCCGAAGGCUCUCUCUCUCCUCCACCGGUGGUAAGUGGAAAAGUUACUCAUUAUAGCUGCCUAAAUGGACAAGGAUGGUGAAGUUGAAUCUUUGUAUACACGUAUUCCAAAUGAUGAAGAUUUUUUGGAGCAAGAUUGCCCUCAAAUAGAUGUGGAUGAAGAAGUUGAAGAACCAAAUGUCUUAAGGAUCACUUGUUCGGAUGAAGAGUUGGAUGGGGAUGAAAGUUCGAAUGAAGAGUUGGAUGGAGAUGAAAAAUUUGAAGAAACAGAGAUGAUCGGUGGGAAUGAAAAAGUUGGAUGGACAUGAAAAAUUUGCAUGUAACUGUCUUUUUGGAAAGUUGCUAUGUGACUUUGUCUUUUUGAGAAAUUGUCAUGUAACCCUUUAAAAGGAUUGUGUUGGGAGCAACGUGGAAGAGCUUUGUCAUUUAUGUUUAUUGCAUAUUUCUUACUGUUUAUGAAAGUUUUUUAUAGGAUUCUUUGAUUUUUUGUUCAUUUAUUUUUUGGGGAAGUUGGAUUUAUGGGUUGCUAGUUGUUUUAGAUAGUGAAAGUGUUUGUUAAUUUGUAGUUAUAACGUGCAAAUGAUGGUGUCAGCGUUAUAAUCAAAGCUAGUUACUUGGUUAUAUUGGUGUAGAAUGAAAACAGUACUCCUUGGCAGGCCACAACCACUCCUGUGGAGAUGAGUCCUUUCAUGUCAACUAAUAGGAUUAAGAAGCCAAUAUUGCUUAUCCACGGAGAAGACAAUAUUACAGGACAUGCAUUAUAAAGUCCUGUAAAUCAUAAUUUUUUUUUUUAAUGAUAUUGGCAUCAUAAAAUUGCUGUGAACUUCAAUAUCUUGUUCUGCCCUGUGAAAAUCCAUGAAGAUGUCUAUAACAGUUCCAUUAUUUUC
Molecule: non-coding RNA, 1156 nt
Organism: Corylus avellana
Lineage: Eukaryota; Viridiplantae; Streptophyta; Magnoliopsida; Fagales; Betulaceae
Source: RefSeq, a predicted model, not a curated record